CCUACGGGCGGCAGCAGUGGGGAAUAUUGGACAAUGGGGGGAACCCUGAUCCAGCCAUGCCGCGUGUGUGAAGAAGGCCCUCGGGUUGUAAAGCACUUUCAGUGAGGAAGAACGCCUGGUGGUUAAUACCCAUCAGGAAAGACAUCACUCACAGAAGAAGCACCGGCUAACUCCGUGCCAGCAGCCGCGGUAAUACGGAGGGUGCGAGCGUUAAUCGGAAUUACUGGGCGUAAAGCGCGCGUAGGUGGCUUGAUAACCCGGUUGUGAAAGCCCCGGGCUCAACCUGGGAACGGCAUCCGGAACUGUCAAGCUAGAGUGCAGGAGAGGAAGGUAGAAUUCCCGGUGUAGCGGUGAAAUGCGUAGAGAUCGGGAGGAAUACCAGUGGCGAAGGCGACCUUCUGGACUGACACUGACACUGAGGUGCGAAAGCGUGGGUAGCAAACAGGAUUAGAUACCCGAGUAGUC
RNAcentral lists this ribosomal RNA (465 nucleotides) under Vreelandella stevensii. Its description in RNAcentral is "partial 16S ribosomal RNA". It matches the Rfam family "Bacterial small subunit ribosomal RNA", at positions 338 to 795 of the family's 1533-position model. Lineage: Bacteria; Pseudomonadati; Pseudomonadota; Gammaproteobacteria; Oceanospirillales; Halomonadaceae. The record is from RNAcentral.